UUCACGGGGUUUAUCCGUGAUUGCCCCGUGAGGCUACGGCUGAAAGAUCGCGUCCCAGGCCGACAAGGGGACGCCAUG
This 78-nucleotide non-coding RNA is filed under the name unclassified sequences. RNAcentral's name for it is "chrB RNA". It matches the Rfam family "chrB-a RNA". The record is from RNAcentral.